Molecule: ribosomal RNA, 181 nt
Filed under: Priestia megaterium
Lineage: Bacteria; Bacillati; Bacillota; Bacilli; Caryophanales; Bacillaceae
Description: Bacillus megaterium 16S rRNA. Bacterial SSU
Rfam family: Bacterial small subunit ribosomal RNA
Source: RNAcentral
UUUCUUCGGAGAGUUUGAUCCUGGCUCAGGAUGAACGCUGGCGGCGUGCCUAAUACAUGCAAGUCGAGCGAACUGAUUAGAAGCUUGCUUCUAUGACGUUAGCGGCGGACGGGUGAGUAACACGUGGGCAACCUGCCUGUAAGACUGGGAUAACUUCGGGAAACCGAAGCUAAUACCGGAU